GAUCAUGGCUCAGGACGAACGCUGGCGGCGUGCCUAACACAUGCAAGUCGAACGGAGAAUUUUAUUUCGGUAGAAUUCUUAGUGGCGAACGGGUGAGUAACGCGUAGGCAACCUGCCCUUUAGACGGGGACAACAUUCCGAAAGGAGUGCUAAUACCGGAUGUGAUCAUCGUGCCGCAUGGCAGGAUGAAGAAAGAUGGCCCUCUAACAAGUAAGCUAUCGACGUAAAGGAGUCGGGCCUGCGU
Molecule: ribosomal RNA, 244 nt
Filed under: uncultured bacterium
Lineage: Bacteria
Description: partial 16S ribosomal RNA
Rfam family: Bacterial small subunit ribosomal RNA
Source: RNAcentral